This 660-nucleotide ribosomal RNA is filed under the name uncultured bacterium. Its description in RNAcentral is "bacterial SSU rRNA". It matches the Rfam family "Bacterial small subunit ribosomal RNA", at positions 61 to 743 of the family's 1533-position model. The record is from RNAcentral.
GUCGACGGGAGAAUUGCUAGCUUGCUAAUAAUUCUCUAGUGGCGCACGGGUGAGUAACACGUGAGUAACCUGCCCCCAAGAGUGGGAUAGCCCCGGGAAACUGGGAUUAAUACCGCAUAAAAUCGCAAGAUUAAAGCAGCAAUGCGCUUGGGGAUGGGCUCGCGUCCUAUUAGUUAGUUGGUGAGGUAACGGCUCACCAAGGCGAUGACGGGUAGCCGGUCUGAGAGGAUGUCCGGCCACACUGGAACUGAGACACGGUCCAGACACCUACGGGUGGCAGCAGUCGAGAAUCAUUCACAAUGGGGGAAACCCUGAUGGUGCGACGCCGCGUGGGGGAAUGAAGGUCUUCGGAUUGUAAACCCCUGUCAUGUGGGAGCAAAUUAAAAAGAUAGUACCACAAGAGGAAGAGACGGCUAACUCUGCGCCAGCAGCCGCGGUAAUACAGAGGUCUCAAGCGUUGUUCGGAAUCACUGGGCGUAAAGCGUGCGUAGGCGGUUUCGUAAGUCGUGUGUGAAAGGCGGGGGCUCAACCCCCGGACUGCACAUGAUACUGCGAGACUAGAGUAAUGGAGGGGGAACCGGAAUUCUCGGUGUAGCAGUGAAAUGCGUAGAUAUCGAGAGGAACACUCGUGGCGAAGGCGGGUUCCUGGACAUUAACUGA